GACGAACGCUGGCGGCGUGCCUAAUACAUGCAAGUCGAACGCACUCUCGUUUAGAUUGAAGGAGCUUGCUCCUGAUUGAUAAACAUUUGAGUGAGUGGCGGACGGGUGAGUAACACGUGGGUAACCUGCCCUAAAGUGGGGGAUAACAUUUGGAAACAGAUGCUAAUACCGCAUAAAACCUAAACACCGCAUGGUGUAGGGUUGAAAGAUGGUUUCGGCUAUCACUUUAGGAUGGACCCGCGGUGCAUUAGUUAGUUGGUGAGGUAAAGGCUCACCGAGACCGUGAUGCAUAGCCGACCUGAGAGGGUAAUCGGCCACACUGGGACUGAGACACGGCCCAGACUCCUACGGGAGGCAGCAGUAGGGAAUCUUCCACAAU
This 379-nucleotide ribosomal RNA is filed under the name uncultured bacterium. RNAcentral's name for it is "bacterial SSU rRNA". It matches the Rfam family "Bacterial small subunit ribosomal RNA", at positions 28 to 372 of the family's 1533-position model. The record is from RNAcentral.